This 469-nucleotide ribosomal RNA is filed under the name uncultured bacterium. RNAcentral's name for it is "bacterial SSU rRNA". It matches the Rfam family "Bacterial small subunit ribosomal RNA", at positions 328 to 793 of the family's 1533-position model. The record is from RNAcentral.
UCAGUCGACUCCUACGGGGAGGCAGCAGUGAGGAAUAUUGGGUCAAUGGGCGCAAGCCUGAACCAGCCAUGCCGCGUGCAGGAAGACUGCCCUAUGGGUUGUAAACUGCUUUAUACAGGAAGAAACACUCCCUCGUGAGGGAGCUUGACGGUACUGUAAGAAUAAGGAUCGGCGUAACUCCGUGCCAGCAGCCGCGGUAAUACGGAGGAUCCAAGCGUUAUCCGGAAUCAUUGGUUUAAAGGGUCCGUAGGUGGAUUAGUAAGUCAGAGGUGAAAUCCUGCAGCUCAACUGUAGAACUGCCUUUGAUACUGCUAGUCUUGAGUCAUUAUGAAGUGGUUAGAAUGUGUAGUGUAGCGGUGAAAUGCAUAGAUAUUACACAGAAUACCGAUUGCGAAGGCAGAUCACUAAUAAUGUACUGACACUGAUGGACGAAAGCGUGGGGAGCGAACAGGAUUAGAUACCCUGGUAG